GGGUCUAUCAGGGUCAGCUGCAACACAAACUGUAACUGAUCGAGCUGCGGUUGGUGAUGUGUACUUCUUCAGUCUCAAUUUCUUCCCCCUAAGAAAAGAAGCCUUUGCUGACCCGACAAGGGAUCCAGUCUUCUGGGAACUGCAAUGUUAAUAGCAAGUCCUUUGUUGUUUCAUUAUAAGCCUUGAUUAUACAAGUCACUAACACGUAAUUAAGAAUUAAUCUAGAAUGAAGCAGCAUGAUCAACUUAACUAAUAUUGAAAAGUUCAAGUAUAUGCCACACAGCUAACAGUUGUUAAUAGCAUAAUAACAGGUGGUCGUUAUGGGAUUUGAGAGAACUUGCCUGGAAGAAGAGAUGGAAACGGCUGCAAUGGCAGACGGAGCACAAACAGCAGCCAUUUUUUAUUUUAUUUUUGCUAAAAGACUCUCUUCCAAUCAGUUUGUGCUUUGUUUGAAAGGCUUAUGGAGGUGGGUUGCAAAUCUGUUAAUGCAUGCCGGGGCUUAUCUUAAAGGAUAGGAGAAAUAAUGUCUAACUGGCUACUUGAUUGCCAGGUGGCAUGCAGAAUCUGAAAUGAAGCGCCUCUACCUCCACAUCUUUUGCUUACUUUGAUGAAUCAUAAA
Molecule: long non-coding RNA, 619 nt
Filed under: Populus tremula
Lineage: Eukaryota; Viridiplantae; Streptophyta; Magnoliopsida; Malpighiales; Salicaceae
Description: long non-coding RNA (PTRE_LNC001951)
Source: RNAcentral